UUUUUCCUCAAAUCAAGUAGGACUACCCGCUGAACUUAAGCAUAUCAAUAAGCGGAGGAAAAGAAACCAACAGGGAUUGCCUCAGUAACGGCGAGUGAAGCGGCAAAAGCUCAAAUUUGAAAUCCCCCCGGGGAGUUGUAAUUUGAAGAUUGCGUCUUGGAGGCGACCGUGUCUAUGUUCCUUGGAACAGGACGUCACAGAGGGUGA
This 207-nucleotide ribosomal RNA is filed under the name Kodamaea ohmeri. RNAcentral describes it as "partial 28S ribosomal RNA". It matches the Rfam family "Eukaryotic large subunit ribosomal RNA", at positions 1 to 215 of the family's 3401-position model. The record is from RNAcentral. Lineage: Eukaryota; Fungi; Ascomycota; Pichiomycetes; Serinales; Debaryomycetaceae.